AUGACGAGGGCGAGGACGCGGAGGCCGGCGAAGGGGGAGGCGGUGGAGGGGUGCGCCCGCUCUGGUACGAGCUCACUCGUGUGUGAUCCCAGGCGCCGCAGGGCCAACGACAAGUCCGUGAAGGAGAAGUGCAAGAUCGUCAACGGAGAUGACCUGAUCUGGUCCAUGGGCACGCUCGCCUUCGAGGACUACGUCGAGCCCCUCAAGCUGCACCUCAAGCUCUAUCAGGAGGAAUUCUGA
RNAcentral lists this ribosomal RNA (240 nucleotides) under Triticum aestivum (bread wheat). Its description in RNAcentral is "partial small subunit ribosomal RNA". Lineage: Eukaryota; Viridiplantae; Streptophyta; Magnoliopsida; Poales; Poaceae. The record is from RNAcentral.